UACUCUCACACUCCCAAUUCUUUGAACUGGGAGCGGUGGACUUGGGUGUUGCCGCUUGACUGUGGCUCACCUCAAAUGCGUUAGUGCACCUCUUGGUUGGACAUAGUACGGCGUGAUAAGUGUCUUCGCCGGCACCUCACUUUGAGGGUGGCUGAUCGGGAGCUCUGUGCUUCAAACUGUCUUCGGACAAUAACUGACAAC
RNAcentral lists this unclassified non-coding RNA (201 nucleotides) under uncultured Sebacina. RNAcentral describes it as "sequence contains ITS2". The record is from RNAcentral. Lineage: Eukaryota; Fungi; Basidiomycota; Agaricomycetes; Sebacinales; Sebacinaceae.